Nicotiana tabacum (common tobacco) is the source of this 132-nucleotide non-coding RNA. Lineage: Eukaryota; Viridiplantae; Streptophyta; Magnoliopsida; Solanales; Solanaceae. The record is from RefSeq and is a predicted model, not a curated record.
GGUUAUCACAAGCCUGCUUUGAUUGAAUCAUCUUUCUUUCCUGCCCUUCAGGGGGAGAAUGGAAAAAUGUCUGCUAGUGAUCCAAGUUCUGCCAUUUAUGUGACCGAUUCAGCAAAAGAGAUAAAAAACAAG